AUUUAUAUAAUUCAAAGAGAAUAUUGCGCUGAAGUUGCAAAAGUAGACGAAUAGUCUUGUAAGUA
This 65-nucleotide transfer RNA is filed under the name Scylla serrata (giant mud crab). RNAcentral describes it as "tRNA-Phe". The record is from RNAcentral. RNAcentral also lists the same sequence under 1 other name. Lineage: Eukaryota; Metazoa; Arthropoda; Malacostraca; Decapoda; Portunidae.